AUGGAGCACGCCGCGUGUGUGAUGAAGGGUUUCGGCUCGUAAAACACUGUUGUAAGAGAAGAAUGACAUUGAGAGUAACUGUUCAAUGUGUGACGGUAUCUUACCAGAAAGGAACGGCUAAAUACGUGCCAGCAGCCGCGGUAAU
This 145-nucleotide ribosomal RNA is filed under the name uncultured bacterium. RNAcentral's name for it is "partial 16S ribosomal RNA". It matches the Rfam family "Bacterial small subunit ribosomal RNA", at positions 386 to 524 of the family's 1533-position model. The record is from RNAcentral.